GUUGUCCGGAUUUAUUGGGCGUAAAGCGAGCGCAGGCGGUGAUUUAAGUCUGAUGUGAAAGCCCCCAGCUCAACUGGGGAGGGUCAUUGGAAACUGGAUCACUUGAGUGCAGAAGAGGAGAGUGGAAUUCCAUGUGUAGCGGUGAAAUGCGUAGAUAUAUGGAGGAACACCAGUGGCGAAGGCGGCUCUCUGGUCUGUAACUGACGCUGAGGCUCGAAAGCGUGGGUAGCAAACAGGAUUAGAUACCCUGGUAGUCCACGCCGUAAACGAUGAGUGCUAAGUGUUGGAGGGUUUCCGCCCUUCAGUGCUGCAGUUAACGCAUUAAGCACUCCGCCUGGGGAGUACGACCGCAAGGUUGAAACUCAAAGGAAUUGACGGGGGCCCGCACAAGCGGUGGAGCAUGUGGUUUAAUUCGAAGCAACGCGAAGAACCUUACCAGGUCUUGACAUCCUUUGACCGCCCUAGAGAUAGGGUUUCCCCUUCGGGGGCAAAGUGACAGGUGGUGCAUGGUUGUCGUCAGCUCGUGUCGUGAGAUGUUGGGUUAAGUCCCGUAACGAGCGCAACCCUUAUUGUUAGUUGCCAGCAUUGAGUUGGGCACUCUAGCAAGACUGCCGGUGACAAACCGGAGGAAGGCGGGGAUGACGUCAAAUCAUCAUGCCCCUUAUGACCUGGGCUACACACGUGCUACAAUGGGAAGUACAACGAGCAAGCCAAGCCGCAAGGCCUAGCGAAUCUCUGAAAGCUUCUCUCAGUUCGGAUUGCAGGCUGCAACUCGCCUGCAUGAAGCCGGAAUCGCUAGUAAUCGCGGAUCAGCAUGCCGCGGUGAAUCCGUUCCCGGGCCUUGUACACACCGCCCGUCACACCACGAGAGUUUGUAACACCCAAAGUCGGUGCGGCAACCCUUAGGGGAGCCAGCCGCCUAAGGUGGGACGAAUGAUUGGGGUGAA
RNAcentral lists this ribosomal RNA (947 nucleotides) under uncultured bacterium. Its description in RNAcentral is "bacterial SSU rRNA". It matches the Rfam family "Bacterial small subunit ribosomal RNA", at positions 540 to 1484 of the family's 1533-position model. The record is from RNAcentral.